Molecule: ribosomal RNA, 253 nt
Filed under: uncultured bacterium
Lineage: Bacteria
Description: partial 16S ribosomal RNA
Rfam family: Bacterial small subunit ribosomal RNA
Source: RNAcentral
UACGUAGGGUGCAGGCGUUAAUCGGAAUUACUGGGCGUAAAGCGUGCGCAGGCGGCCUCUUAAGUCAGAUGUGAAAUCCCCGGGCUUAACCUGGGAACUGCGUUUGAAACUGGAAGGCUAGAGUGUGGCAGAGGGGGGUGGAAUUCCACGUGUAGCAGUGAAAUGCGUAGAGAUGUGGAGGAACACCGAUGGCGAAGGCAGCCCCCUGGGCUAACACUGACGCUCAUGCACGAAAGCGUGGGGAGCAAACAGG